GAUGAACGCUGGCGGCGUGGCUAAUACAUGCAAGUCGAGCGAACGGACGAGAAGCUUGCUUCUCUGAUGUUAGCGGCGGACGGGUGAGUAACACGUGGAUAACCUACCUAUAAGACUGGGAUAACUUCGGGAAACCGGAGCUAAUACCGGAUAAUAUUUUGAACCGCAUGGUUCAAAAGUGAAAGACGGUCUUGCUGUCACUUAUAGAUGGAUCCGCGCUGCAUUAGCUAGUUGGUAAGGUAACGGCUUACCAAGGCAACGAUGCAUAGCCGACCUGAGAGGGUGAUCGGCCACACUGGAACUGAGACACGGUCCAGACUCCUACGGGAGGCAGCAGUAGGGAAUCUUCCGCAAUGGGCGAAAGCCUGACGGAGCAACGCCGCGUGAGUGAUGAAGGUCUUCGGAUCGUAAAACUCUGUUAUUAGGGAAGAACAUAUGUGUAAGUAACUGUGCACAUCUUGACGGUACCUAAUCAGAAAGCCACGGCUAACUACGUGCCAGCAGCCGCGGUAAUACGUAGGUGGCAAGCGUUAUCCGGAAUUAUUGGGCGUAAAGCGCGCGUAGGCGGUUUUUUAAGUCUGAUGUGAAAGCCCACGGCUCAACCGUGGAGGGUCAUUGGAAACUGGAAAACUUGAGUGCAGAAGAGGAAAGUGGAAUUCCAUGUGUAGCGGUGAAAUGCGCAGAGAUAUGGAGGAACACCAGUGGCGAAGGCGACUUUCUGGUCUGUAACUGACGCUGAUGUGCGAAAGCGUGGGGAUCAAACAGGAUUAGAUACCCUGGUAGUCCACGCCGUAAACGAUGAGUGCUAAGUGUUAGGGGGUUUCCGCCCCUUAGUGCUGCAGCUAACGCAUUAAGCACUCCGCCUGGGGAGUACGACCGCAAGGUUGAAACUCAAAGGAAUUGACGGGGACCCGCACAAGCGGUGGAGCAUGUGGUUUAAUUCGAAGCAACGCGAAGAACCUUACCAAAUCUUGACAUCCUUUGACAACUCUAGAGAUAGAGCUUUCCCCUUCGGGGGACAAAGUGACAGGUGGUGCAUGGUUGUCGUCAGCUCGUGUCGUGAGAUGUUGGGUUAAGUCCCGCAACGAGCGCAACCCUUAAGCUUAGUUGCCAUCAUUAAGUUUGGCACUCUAAGUUGACUGCCGGUGACAAACCGGAGGAAGGUGGGGAUGACGUCAAAUCAUCAUGCCCCUUAUGAUUUGGGCUACACACGUGCUACAAUGGACAAUACAAAGGGCAGCGAAACCGUGAGGUCAAGCAAAUCCCAUAAAGUUGUUCUCAGUUCGGAUUGUAGUCUGCAACUCGACUACAUGAAGCUGGAAUCGCUAGUAAUCGUAGAUCAGCAUGCUACGGUGAAUACGUUCCCGGGUCU
This 1372-nucleotide ribosomal RNA is filed under the name uncultured bacterium. RNAcentral's name for it is "bacterial SSU rRNA". It matches the Rfam family "Bacterial small subunit ribosomal RNA", at positions 28 to 1381 of the family's 1533-position model. The record is from RNAcentral.